This 253-nucleotide ribosomal RNA is filed under the name uncultured bacterium. Its description in RNAcentral is "partial 16S ribosomal RNA". It matches the Rfam family "Bacterial small subunit ribosomal RNA", at positions 524 to 776 of the family's 1533-position model. The record is from RNAcentral.
UACGUAGGGUGCGAGCGUUGUCCGGAAUUAUUGGGCGUAAAGGGCUCGUAGGCGGUCUGUUGCGUCAGGAGUGAAAACUCGGGGCUUAACCCCGAGCCUGCUUCUGAUACGGGCAGACUAGAGGUAUGCAGGGGAGAACGGAAUUCCUGGUGUAGCGGUGAAAUGCGCAGAUAUCAGGAGGAACACCGGUGGCGAAGGCGGGUCUCUGGGCAAUAACUGACGCUGAGGAGCGAAAGCGUGGGGAGCGAACAGG